CAAAAAUACUUGCUUCUCUCGAAUCAGUGAAAAUCUAUGUUUGAUAAACAAUUGGAGGCGCAAGAGCAUGAAGAAAAGGACACUGGCAGGCAGGCAAACAAAUGAAGCAGGACACGCGCACAGAGAAGGAGUGUCCAAGGGCUUUCAGUGCGGCGUAACACGAAAAGGUGCGGACACUGGGACAAAGAGCUGCGAACCACUCACCUGGCUCUGAUUGGGAAAUCUUUGCCGCAAACAGAGACUACCAGUGGACUAAGCGCUUCUCCUAAUGGAGCAGCCAUAGUUGAGCCUUAAAGACUUGAGCGGGAUUCUUGGUGUCUUUCUAUUCAGUUUACAGGGAAUUAUCACCGUCUUUUGCUAGUAGUUUUGUCAACAGCAAUACGUAGUUGUUGGGAUUUGAAAUUUUAGGUUCAAAACAUUCAAAAAGCAUAGCAAACGAUAAAUACAGAAAAAAGUUAUUUUCAAAGUUGACUUUAUCAUGAAAGUUUUCGGCCAAAGACACGCCGGCGAACAGGUGCACAAAUCUUGUUGCUCCGUUACAGAAUAUUCAUCAACGGCAAAUGGCCAGACAUUUAAAGGGGCCAAUAAAAAGUGCAACAAAUAUUUGUGACGCCGUAAAGUGACAGCUCUUCGGGCUGUUUUCAAAAGGGGGCUACACCUCCCAGCCAUCCAAACAAGCGGCGCACAUAAACAAUGAAAUCGCUUUGACCAAACGACUCCAAAAAGUGGCACACGAGCUACCUUUCAAUUUUUCAUAUAUAUGUAUAUUUUUGUAUAUAUAGGGGCCCGUAUAAACCCAUCCACAGAUAUCAA
Drosophila santomea is the source of this 813-nucleotide long non-coding RNA. RefSeq lists it as uncharacterized. The record is from RefSeq and is a predicted model, not a curated record. Lineage: Eukaryota; Metazoa; Arthropoda; Insecta; Diptera; Drosophilidae. The transcript has 2 exons.